AGAAAAGCAGGGGAUCGCAAGACCUUGCGCUUUUGGAGCGGCCGAUGUCUGAUUAGCUAGUUGGUGAGGUAAAGGCUUACCAAGGCGUCGAUCAGUAGCUGGUCUGAGAGGACGACCAGCCACACUGGGACUGAGACACGGCCCAGACUCCUACGGGAGGCAGCAGUGGGGAAUUUUGGACAAUGGGGGAAACCCUGAUCCAGCCAUGCCGCGUGAGUGAAGAAGGCCUUCGGGUUGUAAAGCUCUUUCAGCCGGAACGAAACGGUCACGGCUAAUACCUGUGAUCACUGACGGUACCGGAAGAAGAAGCACCGGCUAACUACGUGCCAGCAGCCGCGGUAAUACGUAGGGUGCGAGCGUUAAUCGGAAUUACUGGGCGUAAAGCGUGCGCAGGCGGUUUUGUAAGUCAGAUGUGAAAUCCCCGGGCUUAACCUGGGAACUGCGUUUGAAACUACAAGG
RNAcentral lists this ribosomal RNA (459 nucleotides) under uncultured Nitrosospira rt16S-9. Its description in RNAcentral is "bacterial SSU rRNA". It matches the Rfam family "Bacterial small subunit ribosomal RNA", at positions 200 to 640 of the family's 1533-position model. Lineage: Bacteria; Pseudomonadati; Pseudomonadota; Betaproteobacteria; Nitrosomonadales; Nitrosomonadaceae. The record is from RNAcentral.